AAGCAAAUAGCAUCUAUUUAGCACCUAAGGUAUCGUUUGGUUCGGGGAUAAGGAAAAAGUGGCUAUUCCAGGGAUAGGUAUAAAUUGAGGUAUAAGCAAGGAUUAGAUCAAUUUUGUGUUUGGAUGAAAAUUGGGUUAUUCCUGGAAUAAAAAAAAAUAGCGUUUGGUUAGGUAAGAUGGAAUAAGAAAGAUAAUGGGUUUUGUAAAUAAAAAAUAAUGAUAUUAUCCACUUAUUAUAUUUGAAUUUGAAUUUUUAAAUUUUUA
RNAcentral lists this long non-coding RNA (264 nucleotides) under Ananas comosus (pineapple). RNAcentral's name for it is "long non-coding RNA (ACOM_LNC015242)". Lineage: Eukaryota; Viridiplantae; Streptophyta; Magnoliopsida; Poales; Bromeliaceae. The record is from RNAcentral.